This 497-nucleotide ribosomal RNA is filed under the name uncultured bacterium. Its description in RNAcentral is "partial 16S ribosomal RNA". It matches the Rfam family "Bacterial small subunit ribosomal RNA", at positions 28 to 507 of the family's 1533-position model. The record is from RNAcentral.
GAUGAACGCUGGCGGCGUGCCUAAUACAUGCAAGUCGAGCGAACAGACGAGGAGCUUGCUCCUCUAACGUUAGCGGCGGACGGGUGAGUAACACGUGGAUAACCUACCUAUAAGACUGGGAUAACUUCGGGAAACCGGAGCUAAUACCGGAUAAUAUAUUGAACCGCAUGGUUCAAUAGUGAAAGACGGUUUUGCUGUCACUUAUAGAUGGAUCCGCGCCGCAUUAGCUAGUUGGUAAGGUAACAGCUUACCAAGGCAACAAUGCGUAGCCGACCUGAGAGGGUGAUCGGCCACACUGGAACUGAGACACGGUCCAGACUCCUACGGGAGGCAGCAGUAGGGAAUCUUCCGCAAUGGGCGAAAGCCUGACGGAGCAACGCCGCGUGAGUGAUGAAGGUCUUCGGAUCGUAAAACUCUGUUAUUAGGGAAGAACAAAUGUGUAAGUAACUAUGCACGUCUUGACGGUACCUAAUCAGAAAGCCACGGCUAACUACGUG